AGGGAUGUAGCUCAGUGGUACAGUGCACUUACCUAACAUGUAUGAGACCCUGGGUUUGAUUCCCAGAACCUCAA
Molecule: transfer RNA, 74 nt
Filed under: Fukomys damarensis (Damara mole-rat)
Lineage: Eukaryota; Metazoa; Chordata; Mammalia; Rodentia; Bathyergidae
Rfam family: tRNA
About the family: Transfer RNA (tRNA) molecules are approximately 80 nucleotides in length. Their secondary structure includes four short double-helical elements and three loops (D, anti-codon, and T loops).
Source: Rfam by way of RNAcentral